CAGGAUGCAAAAGUACAUUCAUACUCAAACUGGGUGGCAAAUGAGUGACUAGACUUUGUUAAUGGUUGCAGUGCAGUGGAAGUCAAAAACGUAUUUAAUAUUUUUUAGUUGGUUCAGGAUAAAAAGAAGCCAUAAAACGUUAACACAAUUAUGCUGCCUUUCUAAAUUAUCACAAUAGAAUUGAUAUUAUGUGAAUAUAAGAUAGAAAUUCACAAGUGGUAAAAUUAUUAUAGUACAUAUAUUGGAUGGUUGUGAAGAAAAUUAAAAUACAGACAGAGAGACAGACAGAGAUGCUUACAUUUAUAGUUCAAUGAUUCAUGAAAUUGUUUUUAAAAUAUUUGCUUUCAGUGUUGAUUAAUAGGACAAGAUAUUCUGUUAUACUAGCUGUGUUUCUUCAGCUUAAUAAAAAACAUAAUGUAUCUGAUUUGACUGUCUCCAUGCAUUGGUUGUACAUGUAUAAGGAAUUUGUCUCUGAUGUGUCAUAUUUCUUAAAUGUCAGCAAACUCCAAAUUGACUUUGGACUUUGGAAACACACCUAACAGCAAUAUUUUAACAUUAGUAUCCCAUAAUUCUCCUGUCAUGAAAACAACUGGAUGAUGUACUCAAUGCAAGGAGAAAGAAAAGUAGACUGGGGAAAAUGUGAUGUAAGAGGUUAUCAGCCCACACACACAAUAUCUUGGCUCCAGGUUUAUUUUGGCUCUACUUAUCAGGGUGUGGGGAUCAGUGAGAUGGGAAACUUGCAUGUUGUCUUUUGAGAGACAAGCUGAAGUUACUGUUGAUCCAUCUGCACUGAGCUCUGUAUCAGCAGUUUCUCUGAGCGAUGUGAGUUCAUGCACAGAUAUGGGUCAAUAUCAUAUCAACAAAAAACACCAGUCAGACUUCAUUAACUGUUUUAAGAACAAAAGUAGUGAGACAGAAUUGGUAUGACACAUGGACCUGAUACUGCCCUCUCAUAAAACAAUCACAACUGUUACGUCUCUGAAAAACAUGACUAAUAUAUUAGCAGGGCAGGGCCGCAGGCUAAUAAUCUCUUUAUACAGGAAGUACUGCUGCCAGAGCCUGCAGAACAAAUGUGGUCACACCCGAAAACCUGCCAGAGUGCUUCCCAAAAAGAAACCAGUGGGUGACCCUACGUCCAUGUUUUCCCAAAGCUUAUGAUGAAGCCAGAUUAGUCAGAAGUAUGACUUUGACAUCGCUCUUCCGCCUCUGGGACUUGGACACCGGAACCUCAGCCUCUCCCCCGUCCCCAUCCUGAAGCCUCUGGUGGUAACCAUUCAUCUCCCCAUGAGGAACAUCCACAGCUUCCCUAUCCUCAGACGCCCAGUUUGACCUGCAUUAUCAAGGGUCCAGUGUCACUAACUUCAGCCUGGAACACAUACAGGCCAGAGGACAACAGUAACACCUUACACAUACACACACAAACCCCUAAUGUAUCUCUACAAUGUUGCUGAUUAAAUCAUUUGUUUUGACAUGUUGGAUGUGACUGGGACUUUCUCAGAUAUAAAACUUAUCUCACUGUGGGUCAGCACAGACGCUUUGUGGAUUUAGUUCUGUUUUAAUUUCAUACAACAAUGAUUUUCCAUGGUAAGCAGUAAUUAAUCCUGGUUAAUAUGGUAGGACAACACAACUCUGAAAAUAGUUUUCAUUUUUGAACAAAAAUAUUGCUUUUCUGGCUGGGUUUUUGUUUUUAUGGCUUGUGAUAGGACUUCUACUGACCUUUCAGGUGGUUAGAAUUUAUGAUUUUACCUGGAGGUGCUGCACUGAUGGCAAAACAACGCUAGCACAGAAUGUACUUUUGAGUGUCAUCAUCAUGUAUAAAUCUGCAAUCUGUUCCACACAACAGAACGUGAUUCUAUUUUGGUACAAAUGACUUAAAAACUGUCAGAACUAGAGUAAAUAACUUCAUAUUCUCUUUUUCAGCACUGUUCAUUCGGACUCAUUUUUGUUGGUCUAAAGCUUUUUUCUGUUUUCUGCCUGUGUUCAGUGUCUUACGUGGCUUAAUAUGGUCUCAUCUUACUGAUGUAACUUACAAAGAAAGUCUGAAUUGUCAUACAUUGAUGUAUCAGUCAAAACUGUGAUUUUCAUAUCAUCAGUCCUCCAAAAAGAAUAUAAAGGAGGCAUUGCAUGGGAAGGCGGAGGCUAUAAGGAAAGAGAUGAAGUGUCUUUGGUUUGACUGGGGACACUGCUAACGGCAGAGCUCCCUCUUUUUGUCCACAUUCCUCACAUUGCUACAUUCCUCUAAACACUUCAGGAUCACACACACACACACACACAUACAAAAGAGACUGACAGUGAGAUAGAGAGGGAGAAAAUGAGAGAGAGACUGAGAGGUAUUUGUGAAAGGCAGAAAAGGAACAAUCCCAAAAAUGAUGCUAACAAUCUGUGAAACUAACACGAGUCUUGUACAUCUAUCGCUGCUGCUCACACGACUCAGAGGAAUGCAG
Long non-coding RNA from Lates calcarifer (barramundi perch), 2444 nucleotides. RefSeq lists it as uncharacterized. The record is from RefSeq and is a predicted model, not a curated record. NCBI's taxonomy places the organism in Eukaryota, Metazoa, Chordata, Actinopteri, Centropomidae. The transcript is spliced from 4 exons.